Molecule: ribosomal RNA, 904 nt
Filed under: uncultured bacterium
Lineage: Bacteria
Description: bacterial SSU rRNA
Rfam family: Bacterial small subunit ribosomal RNA
Source: RNAcentral
AGAGUUUGAUCAUGGCUCAAGACGAACGCUGGCGGCGUGCUUAAACACAUGCAAGUCGAACGGUGACCUUGAGAGCUUGCUCUUGGGGGAGCAGUGGCGAACGGGUGAGUAACACGUGAGUAACCUGCCCCUGACUCUGGAAUAAGCGCUGGAAACGGCGUCUAAUACCGGAUACGAGAUGCCACCGCAUGGUGAGUGUCUGGAAAAGUUUUUCGGUCUGGGAUGGACUCGCGGCCUAUCAGCUUGUUGGUGAGAUAAUGGCUCACCAAGGCGAUGACGGGUAGCCGGCCUGAAAGGGCGACCGGCCACACUGGGACUGAGACACGGCCCAGACUCCUACGGGAGGCAGCAGUGGGGAAUAUUGCACAAUGGGCGAAAGCCUGAUGCAGCGACGCCGCGUGAGGGAUGACGGCCUUCGGGUUGUAAACCUCUUUCAGCAGGGAAGAAGCGCAAGUGACGGUACCUGCAGAAGAAGCACCGGCUAACUACGUGCCAGCAGCCGCGGUAAUACGUAGGGUGCGAGCGUUGUCCGGAAUUAUUGGGCGUAAAGAGCUUGUAGGCGGUUUGUCGCGUCUGCUGUGAAAAUCCGGGGCUCAACCCCGGACUUGCAGUGGGUACGGGCAGACUAGAGUGUGGUAGGGGAGACUGGAAUUCCUGGUGUAGCGGUGAAAUGCGCAGAUAUCAGGAGGAACACCGAUGGCGAAGGCAGGUCUCUGGGCCACUACUGACGCUGAGAAGCGAAAGCAUAGGGAGCGAACAGGAUUAGAUACCCUGGUAGUCCAUGCCGUAAACGUUGGGAACUAGGUGUGGGUCUCAUUCCACGAGAUCCGUGCCGCAGCUAACGCAUUAAGUUCCCCGCCUGGGGUGUACGGCCGCAAGGCUAAAAACUCAAAGGAAUUGACGG